RNAcentral lists this ribosomal RNA (834 nucleotides) under Sarcocystis miescheriana. RNAcentral's name for it is "SSU rRNA". It matches the Rfam family "Eukaryotic small subunit ribosomal RNA", at positions 260 to 1054 of the family's 1831-position model. Lineage: Eukaryota; Apicomplexa; Conoidasida; Eucoccidiorida; Sarcocystidae. The record is from RNAcentral.
UUAUAAUUAUCAUUAUUUGAUGAUUGGCGAUAGAUCAUUCAAGUUUCUGACCUAUCAGCUUUCGACGGUAGUGUAUUGGACUACCGUGGCAGUGACGGGUAACGGGGAAUUAGGGUUCGAUUCCGGAGAGGGAGCCUGAGAAACGGCUACCACAUCUAAGGAAGGCAGCAGGCGCGCAAAUUACCCAAUCCUGACUCAGGGAGGUAGUGACAAGAAAUAACAACACUGGAAAUUUGAUUUCUAGUGAUUGGAAUGAUGGGAAUCCAAACCCCUUUCAGAGUAACAAUUGGAGGGCAAGUCUGGUGCCAGCAGCCGCGGUAAUUCCAGCUCCAAUAGCGUAUAUUAAAGUUGUUGCAGUUAAAAAGCUCGUAGUUGGAUGUCUGUUGGAAGCAAUCAUCAGUCCGCCCUAUUUGAUUAGGGUGUGAAUAUGAUGAAUUCCGGCAUAAUUGUCUCCCUAUUGUUAAUAUUCUGAUUGUUAGAUUCAUUUCUAACAAUAAUACGAUUAUUAAUAAUAAGGGGGAAAUGUUACUUUGAGAAAAUUAGAGUGUUUGAAGCAGGCUUUUGUUGCCUUGAAUACUGCAGCAUGGAAUAACAAUAUAGGAUUUCGGUUCUAUUUUGUUGGUUCUUUUUUUAGGACUGAAAUAAUGAUUAAUAGGGACAGUUGGGGGCAUUCGUAUUUAACUGUCAGAGGUGAAAUUCUUAGAUUUGUUAAAGACGAACUACUGCGAAAGCAUUUGCCAAAGAUGUUUUCAUUAAUCAAGAACGAAAGUUAGGGGCUCGAAGACGAUCAGAUACCGUCGUAGUCUUAACCAUAAACUAUGCCGACUAGAGAUA